The sequence is a regulatory RNA element, 214 nucleotides long. It matches the Rfam family "sucA-II RNA". The record is from Rfam.
CCCUGCUAAAUACGCUGAUAUACCUGUAUUAGCAGGGAUAAUGAAAGCAGUGCUUAUCCAGCACUGCUUUUACGAACAUGACGACCAGCAGGAGCCUCUGGGUAAAGCUCAGACUAUCUGCGGGAUUCGUAGUGGCUUUAUCGAAGUCGCUGCAAUUGACUUCUAUAGUCACUAGUUUCCUUACCGGUAGAGGCUCCUUAUCCAAGGGUGACCU